Non-coding RNA from Ilex paraguariensis (yerba mate), 113 nucleotides. NCBI's taxonomy places the organism in Eukaryota, Viridiplantae, Streptophyta, Magnoliopsida, Aquifoliales, Aquifoliaceae. The record is from the annotation of a GenBank genome assembly.
GCAAUCAUACUCGCACUAAUGCACCAAAUCCUAUCAGAACUCCGCAGUUAAGUGUGCUUGGAGGAGAGUAGUACUAGAAUGGGUGACCCCCUGGGAAGUCCUCGUAUUUCACC